GUCCUCGCUUUGGCAGCACAUAUGCUAAAAUUGGAACGACAUAGAGAAGAUUAGCAUGGCCCCUGCACACAAGGAUGACGUGCAAAUUCGUGAAGAAUUAUUUU
Cebus imitator (Panamanian white-faced capuchin) is the source of this 104-nucleotide small nuclear RNA. NCBI's taxonomy places the organism in Eukaryota, Metazoa, Chordata, Mammalia, Primates, Cebidae. The record is from RefSeq and is a predicted model, not a curated record.